Molecule: ribosomal RNA, 484 nt
Filed under: uncultured bacterium
Lineage: Bacteria
Description: partial 16S ribosomal RNA
Rfam family: Bacterial small subunit ribosomal RNA
Source: RNAcentral
AUUGAACGCUGGCGGCAUGCUUUACACAUGCAAGUCGAACGGUAACAGGGAGCUUGCUCCGCUGACGAGUGGCGAACGGGUGAGUAAUAUAUCGGAACGUACCCAAGAGUGGGGGAUAACGUAGCGAAAGUUACGCUAAUACCGCAUACGAUCUAAGGAUGAAAGCAGGGGACCUUCGGGCCUUGUGCUCCUGGAGCGGCCGAUAUCUGAUUAGCUAGUUGGUGAGGUAAAGGCUCACCAAGGCGACGAUCAGUAGCUGGUCUGAGAGGACGACCAGCCACACUGGAACUGAGACACGGUCCAGACUCCUACGGGAGGCAGCAGUGGGGAAUUUUGGACAAUGGGCGCAAGCCUGAUCCAGCAAUGCCGCGUGAGUGAAGAAGGCCUUCGGGUUGUAAAGCCCUUUUGUCAGGGAAGAAACGGGAUUGGCUAAUAUCCAGUCCUAAUGACGGUACCUGAAGAAUAAGCACCGGCUAACUACGUG